Molecule: ribosomal RNA, 478 nt
Filed under: uncultured bacterium
Lineage: Bacteria
Description: partial 16S ribosomal RNA
Rfam family: Bacterial small subunit ribosomal RNA
Source: RNAcentral
GAUGAACGCUAGCGGCAGGCCUAACACAUGCAAGUCGAGGGAGAAGCCCUUUCGGGGGCCGAAACCGGCGCACGGGUGCGUAACGCGUAUGCAACCUACCUUUCACAGGGGGAUAGCCCGAAGAAAUUUGGAUUAAUACCCCAUAAUAUUAUUGGAUGGCAUCAUUUGAUAAUUAAAACUGCGGUGGUGAAAGAUGGGCAUGCGUCCUAUUAGCUAGUUGGAGUGGUAACGGCACUCCAAGGCUACGAUAGGUAGGGGUCCUGAGAGGGAGAUCCCCCACGCUGGUACUGAGACAGGGACCAGACUCCUACGGGAGGCAGCAGUGAGGAAUAUUGGUCAAUGGUCGGAAGACUGAACCAGCCAUGCCGCGUGCAGGAAGAAUGCCUUAUGGGUUGUAAACUGCUUUUAUAUGGGAAGAAUAAGGCGUACGUGUACGUUGAUGACGGUACCAUAUGAAUAAGCAUCGGCUAACUCCGUG